UCCGUAGGUGAACCUGCGGAAGGAUCAUUAACAUUAAUCCAACCAUCUAAACCUAGCCUUAUGUACUGUAGUAGUUGUAGCUAGUUUAACGACAGGCUUAUGCAGCUACAGUAUCAAUCACAACUAAUUGAAAGGAGUCUAACUAAGCUUUACAACCAAUAUCAAAUUCUCAACGAUGGAUAUCUUGGUUCCCAUAACGAUGAAGAACGCAGCGAAGUGCGAUAAGCAGUGCGAAUUGCAGAACCGUGAGUCAUCAGAUCUUUGAACGCAAAUGGCGCUAGUUGGUUACCCAGCUAGCAUGCUUGUUUCAGUGUCUUGUUUUCUCAUCACCAAUAUCUUAAUGUGAGAGAUGACCUUCUCUUGCUAAGUAUGAAAGUACACUGUACUUUGCAGGCAACUUUCGGGUUGCACUCAAUGCAGCGGUCACAUUUCGAUGUGAACUCGUUGAGAGUAAAGACAGCCAGCGGUUUAAUUACUGCUAACUAGUGCUUAGAGAUCACAAAACUUUACUUGUAUCUGGAAAUCAAGGCAGGGGGAUCACCCGGCUGGAACUUAAGGCAUAUCAAUAAGGCGGGGAGGGGAAGGUGGGGGACUG
Molecule: ribosomal RNA, 595 nt
Filed under: uncultured fungus
Lineage: Eukaryota; Fungi
Description: eukaryotic LSU rRNA
Rfam family: 5.8S ribosomal RNA (bases 165-316)
Source: RNAcentral